This 291-nucleotide unclassified non-coding RNA is filed under the name Glomus sp. RNAcentral's name for it is "partial contains 5.8S ribosomal RNA and internal transcribed spacer 2". The stretch from base 1 to 65 matches the Rfam family "5.8S ribosomal RNA", at positions 84 to 154 of the family's 154-position model. The record is from RNAcentral. Lineage: Eukaryota; Fungi; Glomeromycota; Glomeromycetes; Glomerales; Glomeraceae.
GUGAAUCAUCGAAUCUUUGAGCGCAAAUUGCACUCUCCUCGGAGAGUAUGCCUGUUUGAGGGUCAGCCUAUAAAAAUCGACAUCGUUGCUGUUUCGCGGUGGCGUUCGUCGGAAAUUGGGUCAUCUUAAAUCCUUUUGAUUUAAGCUACUUAAAAUUUUCUUUUUGAUUCCAUGAACGUGUUUCUAAGCUUUAUUUCUUUACACGUUUAAGGUAUCGAUUUUUAUUAGACGUGACCAUCAUAUCGGAUCUUGUCCAUAAUCUUUCAUUAAUUGACUCUCUACAGUUAACAG